UAAAUGAUUCAAUGACUACGAGUACCUACCGGUUUCAGAGGCACACUGCAGAUUUGAUUUCAAUUGGUUUUGUACAAUUGAGAAGAAAGCAAAACAAGAUCUGCUGACCAAAAUCGUUGACCAGUGUUACAUUUAUUGCUCAUUUAAAUUGUUAUUGACAAUUUUAAUACAGUGGCAUCGAUUGUUUUAGCGUUUAGUUUUUGACAAAAAUGUGCAUCGAUUUUUAAAGACUUGCGUAAUAUUGAGAUAAGUACAGUGUUAGUGAACUUGACUUGAAUGAGUUUAAACAGUAUUUCGUUUCCAAAUGUGCAAUAACAGGGAGAAUAUUAACCAAAGUUCUUAAAAUCCAAUGACACUGAAGGCAUAACCAAAUAAUAACUUUUGGGUUUCCUCGUCAUGUGAAGCAAUAACGAGAUAAUUGCUCUCAGGGAUAACCGCCAUUGGUGGGUUCACCCUUAUAAUUUUGUUCAACGCUACCAACCAUCACAGAUAAGCUCGCUCUUCUUCUGCAUGCAUGCAAGGCCUGCGAUUCUUAUCUCUUGUGAAUCAUGGUGAUUAAAGAAAUUCUCAUUUGGAAUUAGCCAAGUCAUUACAACUUUGUGUGAAGAUUCGUGUGCUAAUAAUUGUUAUCAUUUCCCAUCUCGGUUUACGUCUCGUCUUGUUGUCCCAGACAGACGUAAUAAUAUGUAUACGUAUGUACAUGCAUAUACAUACCUCCGUUCAUUUGCCCACUAUCGUGUUGAUUCUGGUGAUACUUAAUUUGAUUUUCUUUGGAGUACUAAUCCGUAGACAUUCUCAACAAUUAUAUUUUUUGGAUUUCCUAAUUAACCUUGAGAGACCGAGAAAGAAAUUUUAUGAACUCCAUCCACAUUAUUUUUCACAAGAUCGUAAAAUUUUCCAAAACAAGUUGCGUGAUUGUUUGUUGAAAGUGCCCAUACAUAUAUAUCUACGUAUUCCAAUGAUGCAAUGAUAAGUGUUAAUGGAUAUGGAAACAACGCGGAGGGUGUCGCAAGCCAAAGGGACUAUAAAUUCAAGACUGUGACAAACUAAAGUCUGCAACAGGCCAGUCAAAUCAUAAAUUACGACGCAUCAACUUCAUCCUGGUGGACGGCAGAAGCGCUGUUGCUAAGCAUGAAAGAGGGCAAAAUACAAAGUCGACGAGGAAAGUACAAAGACUAUCAAAUUUCUGGAUGAGGAAGCAGGAACGGGAAGUUUUUGAAGUGCAAGGAAUAAUGAGAAAACUUUCCUUUUCCUUCAUUUUCUGUAGAUGCUGGAAUAUCUUCCUCGCCGCCGCCCGAGUGGGGGGAGCAGAGUUGGGGAGAGAAAAUGGAGCCGCAGUAUUUAAUUUCAAAGACUCCAUCCAAGGAAGAUAAAACGAGAGUAGACGGAGGAGAGCAAAGCUUGGUUUUAAUUUUGUCAUAAAACGGCCAAGUAAUCGGAUUAGUUUCUCAAAUUCUCCAACUUUAAUAUAUACUUUCUCUCCUCUCUUUCUCUGUAAUCUAUUCACUUCAACUUUUCCUGCAAAUUUUCCAUUAUUAUUGAAAUUUCCCUUCGGGAUCCCCAUAUAAAUUUGGGUUCAGCUCUGAAUGGAAGUGUUGAUCCAGGGAAUUCUCAUUUCUCAGAAUGAAUGGUAGAUUCCACCAAGUACUCAACUUUGGUAGAGUUUUAGAGAGGAGAUACUUUCUCAAGUUUAAGAAAUUAAAGUUUUCCACAAUAACUUGA
Long non-coding RNA from Folsomia candida, 1722 nucleotides. RefSeq lists it as uncharacterized. The transcript is spliced from 2 exons. The record is from RefSeq and is a predicted model, not a curated record. Lineage: Eukaryota; Metazoa; Arthropoda; Collembola; Entomobryomorpha; Isotomidae.